GGUGGUUCUCGGGUGACGCACCCUGGAAUCGGGUUCCCUCCUCUCUGGUUCUGGGGUGUGUCACCAGAGAACCACC
Molecule: non-coding RNA, 76 nt
Organism: Myotis lucifugus (little brown bat)
Lineage: Eukaryota; Metazoa; Chordata; Mammalia; Chiroptera; Vespertilionidae
Source: Rfam